RNAcentral lists this ribosomal RNA (595 nucleotides) under Vibrio sp. Its description in RNAcentral is "bacterial SSU rRNA". It matches the Rfam family "Bacterial small subunit ribosomal RNA", at positions 69 to 666 of the family's 1533-position model. Lineage: Bacteria; Pseudomonadati; Pseudomonadota; Gammaproteobacteria; Vibrionales; Vibrionaceae. The record is from RNAcentral.
GGGGACGUUAACGGCGUCGAGCGGCGGACGGGUGAGUAAUGCCUAGGAAAUUGCCCUGAUGUGGGGGAUAACCAUUGGAAACGAUGGCUAAUACCGCAUGAUGCCUACGGGCCAAAGAGGGGGACCUUCGGGCCUCUCGCGUCAGGAUAUGCCUAGGUGGGAUUAGCUAGUUGGUGAGGUAAGGGCUCACCAAGGCGACGAUCCCUAGCUGGUCUGAGAGGAUGAUCAGCCACACUGGAACUGAGACACGGUCCAGACUCCUACGGGAGGCAGCAGUGGGGAAUAUUGCACAAUGGGCGCAAGCCUGAUGCAGCCAUGCCGCGUGUGUGAAGAAGGCCUUCGGGUUGUAAAGCACUUUCAGUCGUGAGGAAGGUUUAUGCGUUAAUAGCGUAUAUAUUUGACGUUAGCGACAGAAGAAGCACCGGCUAACUCCGUGCCAGCAGCCGCGGUAAUACGGAGGGUGCGAGCGUUAAUCGGAAUUACUGGGCGUAAAGCGCAUGCAGGUGGUUUGUUAAGUCAGAUGUGAAAGCCCGGGGCUCAACCUCGGAAUAGCAUUUGAAACUGGCAGACUAGAGUACUGUAGAGGGGGGUAGAA